UAACGAAUCUUCCGCAAUGCACGCAAGUGUGACGGAGCAAUGCCGCGUGUGGGAUGAAGCGGUUACGCCGUGUAAACCACUGUCAGGGUCUAGGAAGAACUGACCAGACCCAGAGGAAGGGCCGGCUAAUCUCGUGCCAGCAGCCGCGGUAAUACGAGAGGCCCGAGCGUUAGGCGGAAUCACUGGGCUUAAAGGGUGCGUAGGCGGAUUGGUAAGCAUCUCGUGAAAUGCCUCGGCUCAACCGAGGAAUUGCGGGGUGAACUGCUUGUCUUGAGGAAGGCAGAGGUUGUCGGAACGUUCGGUGGAGCGGUGAAAUGCGUAGAUAUCGAACGGAACGCCGAAGGGGUAGCCAGGCAACUGGGCCUUUCCUGACGCUGAGGCACGAAAGCGUGGGGAUCAAACA
Molecule: ribosomal RNA, 403 nt
Filed under: uncultured bacterium
Lineage: Bacteria
Description: bacterial SSU rRNA
Rfam family: Bacterial small subunit ribosomal RNA
Source: RNAcentral